This 440-nucleotide ribosomal RNA is filed under the name uncultured bacterium. RNAcentral's name for it is "partial 16S ribosomal RNA". It matches the Rfam family "Bacterial small subunit ribosomal RNA", at positions 338 to 795 of the family's 1533-position model. The record is from RNAcentral.
ACUACGGGAGGCAGCAGUGGGGGAUAUUGCACAAUGGGGGGAACCCUGAUGCAGUGACGCCGCGUGGGUGAAGAAGCGCCUCGGCGCGUAAAGCCCUGUCAGCAGGGAAGAAAAUGACGGUACCUGAAGAAGAAGCCCCGGCUAACUACGUGCCAGCAGCCGCGGUAAUACGUAGGGGGCAAGCGUUAUCCGGAUUUACUGGGUGUAAAGGGGGCGCAGACGGCGAUGCAAGCCAGGAGUGAAAGCCCGGGGCCCAACCCCGGGACUGCUCUUGGAACUGCGUGGCUGGAGUGCAGGAGGGGCAGGCGGAAUUCCUGGUGUAGCGGUGAAAUGCGUAGAUAUCAGGAGGAACACCGGUGGCGAAGGCGGCCUGCUGGACUGCAACUGACGUUGAGGCCCGAAAGCGUGGGGAGCAAACAGGAUUAGAUACCCCUGUAGUC